Molecule: long non-coding RNA, 7785 nt
Organism: Physeter macrocephalus (sperm whale)
Lineage: Eukaryota; Metazoa; Chordata; Mammalia; Artiodactyla; Physeteridae
Exons: 7
Source: RefSeq, a predicted model, not a curated record
AUAUAUUUUGCAAGAUUUCCUCCAACUCUGUGGAUUAUCUUUUCAUUCUCCUGUCUUUUAAUGAAGUUCAGCUUCUGUUUUUUCUUUCACUGAUCAUGUCUUUGGUGUUACAUUUUAAAAGUCGUCUCCAAACCCAAGAUUACCUAGAUUUUCUCUUGUAUUCUAGUUUUAUAGUUUUGCAUCUUAAAUUUAGGUCAGAGUUUCCAUAUAAAUGGAUAUUUCUUAAUUUUCGUUAUUGAUUUCCAACUUAAUCAUGUUGUAGUCAGAGACCUCACUCUGUAUAACUUCAAUCCUUUAAAAUUUGUUGAAACUUGUUUUACGACCCAGGAAGUAGUCAAAAGUAAAUAUUCUACGUGUGCUUGAAAAGAAUGUAUAUGCUGAAAUUGCAGCCUGUCCUAUAUAAGCCUAUUAUGUUAUUCUUGUCCAAAGCUUCUACACCUUAAUUGAUUUUUAAAAAAUUUUUCCUAUCAAAUGAGAGAGGUGUGUUAAAGUCUCAUUCUGUGACUUUUGAUUUAAUUCUUACAUUUCUGCUCAUUUUUGUCUUAUUAUUAUUGAGACCAUAUUGUUGGAAGAAUAUAUAUUUAGAAUUAUUGUAUCUUCCUGGUGAAAUGAAACUUUCAUCAUUAUGUAGGCUCUAUCCCUAGUCAUAUCCUUUAUCUUACAGACUUGAUCUAUCUAAUAUUGACAUAGCUACAGGUAGUGAAUGUUGUGAUGUUCUGCUCAGAUCCUCCGUCAGGACUGAUGGUAUUCCCUUAGCUGCUGGAAGUGCUACCAGAUGACAGCCUUCACUCACCAGCCCUCUGCAGGAAUUGUCCUCGCCUCAUCCAAAGCCACAGCCUACAUCCUAUGACUGGUCAGAGCAAGGACCUUGGUAUGCUAGAAGCCUGAAGAGUGAAGCUCGAGGUCCUUGAGGUUUACUUCCUCACUCCAGAGUAAGCCCUUUGGAGACCGAACCCACAGUGGAGAUUAUGGUAGGCGCUAAACUCUGACCUGUGUUACUUAACUCUGACCUGUGUUAUUUAGUACUGCCAGUCUACCAAACAACUGCCUCUCUGCUGCUUUCCAGAGUCCAAGGAAAAUGCAGCAGUAAUUUGGGAUAGAGGAUGGACCGAAGAGGAGGAUGCAGCCUGCUACUUCCAAAGAUGAUAUUCCCCAUCUCUCCCCUCUUUCCUCACUACCCUGAGCGAAAAUCCAACAGAGAUGCCUUUGAUUUAUGUAUCCUAUCACAUAGCUGUACUUUAGCUGCAAAGAAUGCUGGAAAACUAGCAUUUUAAGGUUUUAUAGAGGGUGUUGCAGACACAAUUCUAAGAUGAUCCCCAUGAUCUCUGCUUCCUUGGUGUUGCAGCUACGAUUAGAUUACACUGCAUGGCGAAGGAAUCUUACAGAUCUAAUUAAGGUCCCAAAUCAGUUGAUUUUGAAUUCAUAAGGGAAAUUAUUCUAUGGGUCUAAUAUAAUUAUAUGAGUUCUUUAAAAGCAGAGUUUUCUCCAACUGGUAGCAUAAGAUGUAAUGAGAGAGAUUCCAAGUGUGAGAAGGACUGAAUACGCCACUGCUGCCUUGAAGAUGGAAGGAGCCACGUGGCAAGGAAUUCCAGUUCCUGGAAGCUGUGAGCACCCUCCAAUCUCCCCAUCCUCCAGCAGCCAGCAAGGAAACAGAGGCCUCAGUCCUACAAUCACAAGGAAUGGAACUCUGCAAAUAACAGGGUUCUGAGGACCCAGUCUCUGGAACGGUUCUACAAUAACGUGAAGAGCCGCUUCAAACGCUUUGGCAGCGCCAAGGUCUUGAAGAACCUGUACAGGAAACACCGGCUGGAGAGCAGAGGGUGCUUUGACAUCCUAGAGGACGAAGCUGAAGUCUGAAGUGUUAAGUGCCUGCUCACAGUAAAACUGCUAAGUGGUAGAGUCAGAAUAUAAGCCAGGCAGCCGGGGAUCAAAGAGGUGGUUCUCCCUAGCAGGAGCUCACAAAGUAACGAGGGACGGCAGGAAGGGUGGAAACUGCAGUCUGCUGAAAGACAGACUUACUUAAAAGAAGAAAAUGAGGCUGGGCCCUGAUCGAGCUGGUGAGUCAAGUAGUAAUAUGCACAGUUUAUGUAAAAACUGAUGACACUGUCUUGCUUUUAAAAACUUUGUCUCUCUCCAAUACAGGACAGAAGGCUUCAGGGUGGUUUUAUAAGGAACAAGUAAAGCACAACCUCCUUUCAUAUAAUCCCAAGCAAACACUUACAUCUUUGGUAUCUCUUUGUUGGGUAAGAUUUUUAAAAUUCAGGCUCAACUAGAAUUUCCAAAGUACAAAGGCAAUUGAAAGCUAAACAAUAUCUUAAGGAUGGAAGAGCUGUUCGCCAAGAGUAACCCGAAACGAUCCAUUUGCGUCUCCACAUGCCAUACCCAGACAUGUCAGACUCAUCUUUGGCUUACCAUGACAUUUUCACAUGGCCCUAACUGCUGUCUGCAGUCCUUCAAGUCAGAUCUCCCAGCCGUAGACCGUCUGUGACAUCUGAGUGGCCAGUUUUAGUGGCAGCCUCACCCUGCAGCCAGUUUCUAGAAGUCCAGGUGAAAUCUUUCACUCCUGUAGCAUGCUGCCUGUAUGCUAAUGGCAUCCCUUCGACAUGGCAGCCCCUCACAGGGGCUCCAGAGGACAGAGCAAGACAGUCCUUAUUGCCUCGCUGAAAGGAGCCGCUUCUUGAAAUGGCUUCAAUUGAAUCAGUCCCACCCCCUCUGAGAUGCCAUCAAAACCGCACGACAUUACCCAGGGCUUCCACGAGCCAUGCCAAGGAGCUCCCUCCCAUCACGAGGCAGAAAGCACUGCACCUCUGAAGCAGGGAGGAGACUCACUCCACAUAAAAUGGAACUUUAAGAACAAGAAAACCCCGGGCCUAGACAUACCCAUUAUUAAAUUUAGAUAUCAAGUCCAAGGCUCACACACAGACAACUAUUUUCUCCAGGGACGAGGCGAGACAAUCAACACGAAUUCACAAUCCAUGCCACACCCAGCUUACUGAGAUUUCCCUUUGCCCAAAGUGCCAGAAUCAGCAAUGCCGCUGAUGGGGACCUGGGGCAGAUCAACUUCUAAGGCGCUCCUGACCCCUCCUUCCUUCAAACAACAUUCACCAAGUCCCUGCCUUUGCAGGAGCGCUGUGCCAGGCUGGGGCUGCCAACUCAUGAGACCUAGUCUGGUCCAGAAUCCUGAAGUAUAACCUUAAAUGGGUCAACUACCUGUUUCCUUGGAAAAAAGACCCACACCAUUACCUGCUCUCCUGUUUUACUGGAGGCCAGUGAUGAGGAAUCACCAAAGAUUUAAGUAUCUUGACGGGCACUGUACAAAUGUAAAAGAUUACUGGACAUAGAUUCCAGAUUCAACGAAGAAAAAAAUAUUACAAUCUGUAAUAAAUACAUUUUCUUCCAUACAAAUUGUGAUCUCUAUAUGUGGAUUUUUCUUAAAGGAUGAAGAGUAUGUCAGACGUACUAUUUACAAUUUUAUCCCAUCCUAUUUACUUCCUGUUAAUUAAAUCAUUAACAGAAGCAGGAAGAGAGCAAAAGACUGCCUGCAAACAAUGCCCCUUUAUCAGGAGGGCCCAGGAAUGGGUUGUCAGAAUGGCUGACAGGACUGUUAGGCGUCUGGUUCAAUUUGUGAGACAAAUUUUGAGAAGGGCCUUUGCUUACAGCUUAAGGUGAUUAUAUCUCAUAGCUAAAUAGAACGGGUGAAGAAAGUUUUCGUUCAUUACUGAACACAUCCUUAUGUCUCAUCUCUGCACAGGCUGGACCCAAAUGCCAUCCAAAUUCCAUUAUGGACACAGGAAGCCAAGGACGCCACUUGCCACAGCGUUGCUCUGUGCCAGCUGCAGCUGUCUGGGCUUCAUUUUAAUGAAGGCAGACAAAGGGGGCUCUCGGCCUUGAACAUUCCUCUUGCAAGGCCCAGAGGGAAAAGUGACAUUAGUAAAACAUUCCUCCCUUGUCCUUUUAUCAAGGCCACCCCAACUCAUCCUGUCCUUCAGUUGGUCCUGUUGUCUCCACCUCCACAAUGUUAGGUUUCCAUCUCCUCGCACAGACCACAGUCCAUCCCAACAUCAAGACUCCCCUGGACUGGGACUUCCCUGGUGGCGCAGUGGUUGAGAAUCCACCUUCCAAUGCAAGGGACACAGGUUCGAGCCCUGGUCCGGGAAGAUCCCACAUGCCGCGGAGCGGCUGGGCCCGUGCACCACAACUACUGAGCCUGCGCUCUAGAGCCCGCAAGCCACAACUACUGAGCCCAUGAGCCACAGCUACUGAGCCCGUGCACCACAACUACUGAGCCUGUGCUCUAGAGCCCGUGCUCUGCAACAAGAGAAGCUACCACGAUGAGAAGCCCGUGCACCGCAACGAAGACCCAAUGCAGCCAAAAAUAAAUAAAUAAGUUUUAAAAAAAUCAUUAAAAGACUCCCCUGGACUAAUGCAACAGGACCCUAACUGCUCUCCCCACUGAAACUCCUGUGACCACACCAGUCUUCCAUGGAGCACCCCAUUUCAGCCUAGGAGGCUCUGAACCAGUGCUUCUCAAGAUAUCUGGGGUGAAGAACUGUUCUUCACCACCCCCAACGCCCACCUCUGCUCCAGUUCAUUGUGGACCAGGUGUUCUCAAAUACAAUAAAAAUGAGUUACUGAUAAAAUUAUCACAUGCUUUGAUGCUGCAGAAAUGUCAAACUGCUGUAAGUUUUUGACUGCUUCCCUCAAGCCGGGCCAGUAGCAGUUUGAGGACUGGCAGCCCACAGACCACACUGGAAUAACUCUGCUCUAAAAUGCUCUGUAGGGCUUCCCUGGUGGCGCAGUGGUUAAGAAUCCGCCUGCCAGUGCAGGGGACACGGGUUCGAGCCCUGGUCUGGGAAGAUCCCACAUGCGGCAGAGCAACUAAGCCCGUGCACCACAACUACUGAGCCUGCGCGUCUGGAGCCUGUGCUCCGCAACAAGAGAGGCCGCGACAGUGAGAGGCCCGCGCACCGCGAUGAAGAGUGGCCCCCGCUCGCCGCAGCUAGAGAAAGUCCUCGCACAGCAACGAAGACCCAACGCAGACAAAAAAUAAAUAAAUUUAUAAAAAUAAAUAAAUAUAUUUAAAAAUUAAAAAUAAAUAAAUAAAUAAAUAAAAUGCUCUGGGCUCCACCAGCCUCUCAACCACCCACUCUCUCCCUGGCUUAUUCUGAUCUAGCCAAUUUCACUACGUUCAAGCCAAGUUUGAUGGCCUCGAACUUGUUUCCCUAGGAGUUUGGCACUUGCUGUGCCCUCUGCCUGGACCGUUCUGGCCCUGCAUUUUCCCAUGGAUGGAUUCCUUCCAGGCACUCAGGGCUCAGUCCCAAAUGUCACCUGGAGAAGUCUUCCUCUGCCAUCUAAUUUAGAGGACAGAUCCCCAUCCCAGCACUUAACACUCCGGAAUACAUUCCUGGCUUUACUGUUUCCACUGCACUUAUUUAUUUUUUACAUUGGAUGAAGAAAUGCUUUCCCACCAUCCCAGUUCACUGUAGGCCAUCCGCCCAGGCAGACUGGCAAAAGUUCAGUGCCACCAAAGUCACCUCCUUGAGGGCAGGAGGCACAGAGGCAUAGGUUCUUCAGUGGAACAGAAGCCCCCAGAGGGCAGGGAUCUGGUCUCUGCACUGUUCACUGCUACAUCCCAGCACUUAGAAUAGCACCUGAAAGGAUGCAGGUGCACAAUAAAAGUUCACUGAGUAAACAGGGAGAAAUGAAAGCUGCUCUCUUGAGAAAUGCAGCUGAAAGGGGAAGGGGAGACUUAGGGGUGGGUUGGGGGCCAGGAGUAGUACAGCAGAGGGUAGGCAAGACAGAAAACAGGAGGAGAAAAAUGAACGAACGAGAGGGGCACACACAGCAAGCACCUGGAAUUCUCGGGGACAAGAUCACCGGGAGCAGUGCUGAGGGGCUUCCUUGUAGAGGAAAGACUUGGCACUUGGCGUGAGCCCUGAGAAGUAAGAUAUUUGGUAAUUCGAGGAGGUCUGAGAAGGGCAUUCCAGGAAGUAGGAAAAACAUAGGCAAAGGAACAAAAAAGGAAGUUUAAAUGGAAGAUAAUUUGAGGGAUGCAACAUCUAUGCAGCAUUUUAUUAUAAACUAUUUCAAACCAUAUGAUGCCUUAAAUUUACCACAAACUUUUUCAUUUUAAGUCUAUGAACUUAAAAAGUCACAUUUUAGUAGUUUUUCACAUUUAAUAGCAACUAGCUUCCUGGAGUUUCCCUUCCAGAGCCAGAACGAGGCCAAGCUGAGCAGCAAGAUGGGGGUGGAAUAGUCUCCGAGAUGGCAGCUUCUCAGAAGCUUAAAAUUUGUUAUUAGAAAGAAUAUCAGAUUCAGGAAGGUCAAGGUCUAGUCCCAUUUUGGCAGUAACUCACCUCCUGUGUGACUUUAGGCAAAUCACUUCACCUUUUUGAGUCUCAUCUUACAUCUGGGAGAAAACUGAGGGACUUGGGACUACAGACCUAUAAUUAGGGUCACAACAUAGUUUAUCGUCUAGAGACACUCUGGAAAGUCAAAGAGGGUGCUAUUCUUAAUUUUGCCAGAACAACAGACAUAACACUGAUCAAAGAAACCGAGAUGUACAGUCACCUAUCUUACUUAUAUGCUUCAGUUCUGAAGCACCAUCCUUCUCUAGAAACACCCAAGGCUCCCUUCAUGCUCUCUAGCUGGCCCUGUGCCUGGCACAUCCCAGAUGCUCACUAAGCGUUUGCCCCAUUUCCUUUGGGUGAGCUUGUCUGCAUUCUUUAUGUAAUCAAAGCUAUUGAUCUGUUCUUCCACAGCUUCACUGCCUUAUAAUAGUUGAACCGUCCUUGAUUUCACAUUCCUCCGUAUAACCCCAGGUGCCUCUACUAAGAACAGUUUUGCAAAGAAGUACCUAGGUAACGGUAUCUGAUGCGCAUUUCCUGAGUUGUUUUACAGAUGCUAAAACCACCACCAAAUGGAAGAACUUAACUACUUGAUGAUCAUGAGCCCCCAGACCCACUGGCACCUAAGGAUUCAUGAUGUCAACCACCCUGUUAGCUCAACACCGACCCCUCAGAGAAUUGUGCACGAGCUGAUCACAUCCCCCGCGACCCCCUCCCUCCUGUGGCCUUUCCUUCGGGGACGUGGGGGUUUUUAGAGUGCGAGUCACCCAUCCUCCUUGUAUUGGUGCCUUUACAAUAAACGCCGCACUUUCCUUCACCACACCCUGGUGUCAGUAGAUCGGCGUUACUGUGCACGGGCGAGCAGACCCGAGUCUGGUUCAGUAGCAGCCCGGGGGGACUUGACAAUUAAGCCCCCCCAACCCCGUUCCCUUCAUCCUGUGAGGAUGGGCUGCCUACUAACUGCUGGUGAGACUGCAGGCACAAACAGGAUGGCUUCUGCCUCUGCAUAAACUCUGGAUGGGAAAGAGGGACCGUCCACAUGUUAGGGAACCGUUGAUCGAAACUGCCCUCCUUGGCCAGGCACGACGAUAACCACUUGCAUGAGGUGUCUCACAACAGGAGGUCCUGAUAGGGACAUGGGGCUGCCGUGGAAAAGUAACCAGGAGAAUUCGGGAGGGGCCGAAAGGCGGGAGGAGAUGCCAGCCCAUAGUGGGCGCCAACCUCCCAGAAACGGUCAUGCUAGAAUCCAUCUUGGCUGAGAGAUGCGAGAACCACCGGGGAGGACCCUGAGUCAGAUCAGAUACGGGCAACAAGCAAGACGAUUGGUCAGAGACAACCCAGAAACUAACCCCAUUACCAUAAAACCUGAGACCGAGAGCCACAUGGCAGAGCAGUCCUCCUGGGUUCCCUCACCCUGCUGUUCUCCGCCCAGGCACCC